This 498-nucleotide ribosomal RNA is filed under the name uncultured bacterium. RNAcentral describes it as "partial 16S ribosomal RNA". It matches the Rfam family "Bacterial small subunit ribosomal RNA", at positions 30 to 523 of the family's 1533-position model. The record is from RNAcentral.
AUUGAACGCUGGCGGCAUGCCUUACACAUGCAAGUCGAACGGUAACAGGUCUUCGGAUGCUGACGAGUGGCGAACGGGUGAGUAAUACAUCGGAACGUGCCUAGUAGUGGGGGAUAACUACUCGAAAGAGUGGCUAAUACCGCAUGAGAUCUAUGGAUGAAAGCAGGGGAUCGCAAGACCUUGUGCUACUAGAGCGGCCGAUGGCAGAUUAGGUAGUUGGUGGGAUAAAAGCUUACCAAGCCGACGAUCUGUAGCUGGUCUGAGAGGGCGAUCAGCCACACUGGGACUGAGACACGGCCCAGACUCCUACGGGAGGCAGCAGUGGGGAAUUUUGGACAAUGGGCGAAAGCCUGAUCCAGCAAUGCCGCGUGCAGGAUGAAGGCCUUCGGGUUGUAAACUGCUUUUGUACGGAACGAAAAGCCCCGGGUUAAUACCCUGGGGUCAUGACGGUACCGUAAGAAUAAGCACCGGCUAACUACGUGCCAGCAGCCGCCGUAA